AUACCACCAGUUCCAGGCCUGUUGUUAGGAAAUCCAGUAGGGCUAAGUCCCCCUAAAGAACCACCAUCACGGCUAUUUCUCAUGCUUGCAGUUGCACCAGGGCGCAGCCCAAGAUUCUUUUCUGCCUCGCUAUGGAUUUCACUAAUGGUUUUGGCUUUUACCUGCCAAAGAAGAAACCAUCAAUUCUUGAGAAAAUUAUAUCAAGUUUUCUCAGUUUCUUUAGCAGAACUCAGUCUAGUUAAUCUAUCAACUUAAUUUAAAUUUCAAAAGAAUAAAGUCUGAAAUCCAUGAUAGGAACCAGGUUACAGCUUACUUCUUCACGACGAGGGACCCAGUUGUUUGAACGCAGGUCAAGCACAUUACGAACCAUAAAUCUUAGACGUGGUGCAAGUUGAGGAUUGGAAGUUAGUUCCUU
Molecule: long non-coding RNA, 415 nt
Filed under: Musa acuminata (dwarf banana)
Lineage: Eukaryota; Viridiplantae; Streptophyta; Magnoliopsida; Zingiberales; Musaceae
Description: long non-coding RNA (MACU_LNC001862)
Source: RNAcentral